AUUGAACGCUGGUGGCACGCUUAACACAUGCAAGUCGAACGGCAGCAUGGAAGAAACUUUCGGGUUUUUUCUGAUGGCGAGUGGCGAACGGGUGAGUAACACGUAGGAAUAUACCUUGAAGAAGGGGGAUAACUUGGGGAAACUCAAGCUAAUACCGCAUAUGCUCUGCGGAGCGAAGCCGGGGGACUUUCGGGCCUGGCGCUUUGAGAAUAGCCUGCGUCUGAUUAGCUAGUUGGUGGGGUAAAGGCCUACCAAGGCAUCGAUCAGUAGCUGGUCUGAGAGGAUGGACAGCCACACUGGGACUGAGACACGGCCCAGACUCCUACGGGAGGCAGCAGUGGGGAAUAUUGGACAAUGGGGGGAACCCUGAUCCAGCGAUGCCGCGUGUGUGAAGAAGGCC
This 400-nucleotide ribosomal RNA is filed under the name uncultured Gammaproteobacteria bacterium. RNAcentral's name for it is "bacterial SSU rRNA". It matches the Rfam family "Bacterial small subunit ribosomal RNA", at positions 30 to 416 of the family's 1533-position model. Lineage: Bacteria; Pseudomonadati; Pseudomonadota; Gammaproteobacteria. The record is from RNAcentral.